Molecule: long non-coding RNA, 2181 nt
Organism: Neofelis nebulosa (Clouded leopard)
Lineage: Eukaryota; Metazoa; Chordata; Mammalia; Carnivora; Felidae
Exons: 2
Source: RefSeq, a predicted model, not a curated record
GGAGCGGCAGGCAGGUGCUCCCUGGAUUCACCCUCUGACAGCCUCCGAGGGGCACCUGGGACCGGGAAUCGGCGCAGGCCCUUGGAUCCGACUGCCGUAGCCACUGGUGCCAGGAGUGGCCCCAGCACCGCCCACAGCCCCCGGAGGGGCCCAGGGCAGCGGGCCUGCCGUCUGUCGGCCCAAGGCCGUCGUGGAUGGAGAGCGAUUGGAGUUUUCAGACCCGAGUCCCUGACUUCAGUCGUCUCUGGGCGCCCGCAUCUUCCUGCCUGUCCUCAAGGCGCCCAGUGGAGGAGCCCGACCAUCGCCACACCUGGCCGUGUCCCUCACCCUCGGGCAUGGGCGUGAUUCUUUGUGUUCUACAGAUGAGGAGCCCAACACCCAGACUGCUAGUGCUUGAGGUCAUCCACCCGCAAAACGUCAGGCCUGACCUCAGCCGUGCUCGGCCGCCCGGGAGAACCUAGGUGUCCGCGAGGAACGAGCUUCAGCCUGUCCCAGCCCUGCCCGGCCCUCCGUGGAGUCACCGUGGACACGCCCCCGGCCUGGCGCCCCCUGUCCUCUCCGGGGCGUGGGGUGUGGCCUCCUCUGAGAGGCUCAUAAAGUGACUGCUGAACCCGGUGGUCGGCUGGUGCAGCCGUUGCCAUGGAAAAGCUCGGGGCGCGGGGGCUGUCUGGCAGCCUGACCCCCCUGCGGCCAGGCCGGGCUGCUGGCCCAGCCCCCAGGGCGUGCGUGCGGCAGGGAACCCGCUCCGGCCAGGAGCCUCCCCUGGGAGGGGCAGGUGGGGCUCCAUCCCUGCGUUUGUUGGGGGCACGGUAGUCUCUUUGUGGGGGACAGGGGCUCUUUCUGCCUGCUGCCUCCCUCCCGCAUUUGCUAAAGGCCCCUCAGCCUGCUUUGAGGAGCACCCCCACCCCCCGUAAGUACAGUCUCAGGGGCCCUACCCUCACCAUGGCCAAAGCCAGGUCUGGUAAGUCAGUGGGGGCCUGUGUCUCCCCCAUUCAUGACCUGGAUGGCCCAGGUACGGGCAGGUAACCUUAGUCAAGCCAGCAAUGCCCCCGGGUCAGUGCAAACAAUCAGGAAGGAACAGCUGAGCACAGAGCCAGGGAGAUCCAGACAUGUUGGCCCGGGCUGACCUCUGGAUUAAGCCAUACCUGAAGCCAGCCUCCCUGACAUUCCCAUAGUUGCCUGUGCUAGCUAACAUCGUUCCGUUUUCACUCACAUCUGAUGGGCUUGGGUUUUUCACUGAGUCCUUACGAAUGCCCUUUGGCUCCAAAAACAUCCGUGCAGGUGAGCUGUAUCCUGGAUCCACGCCCCGCCCCACCCCCCCUCCGCCGCCCAGUGAGACUCUGAAUAAGUCCCCCCCCCCGGGGGCCUUGGUCUCCUUUGCCAUGGGGACUGAUGCCACAACGCCCCUACUCUGAGUGUUCUCCACUUCCGGGCUGUCAGGACCUCGAAAGUCCUUCCUUGUGACGCCAGCCUCUCUCCACCUUAGAAAAGUGUCAGGACGCACAGAUGACCAAGGAGGGCUGAACACCUACCUGUUUAGCAGAAGUCUGAGCCUCCGGCCCCGCCGGGGCGAGAACAGUGCCGUCUCCGUACGUAACCCGCCGGGAAGUUCUUCGUGGUGACCACCCUCACGCUCCAUCUUGGCCCAGCUGUCUGCCCCGGAAUUCACUCCUCGCCUCGUCCCCACCCUGCCGUGGAGUUUCCCGGGCUGGCUUCUGCCUGGGCCCAGCCUGUGGGAGUCUCAGGUGGGGGACGGUCUGGGAGCCUGGCUAGGGGCUCUCCCACACCUCAGCACUUCCUCCUCUGGCGCGGGCAUCCCGAGGGGGAGCUCAAGGGACGGGGAAGGGGCUGCUCCAUAUCCAGUUUGCCCUGUUGGAGGAAAAUUCUACCACCGCCCCCAACUGCCUUAUGUGAGCCAAGUCCUCCGGUCUCCACAUCACGUGACAUCAAGAGAAGUGAUACUCUAGAGUAGGUGAGCCUGAGGCCAACAUACGGAUCCCCCAGCAAGGGCUCGUCCUAGCUCUCAUGUUUCCAACGUGCUCCUCUGACUCUCCCCCCGGGCGGUACAGCACUCUUACCUGACAUCUGGGCUGGAGGCCCGUGUGGAGGAGGAAUCAAGUUAUUCGAAUCAUUUGCUCCAGUUUCUUCACUUAGAAAACGAGGAUUAAAAAAAUUGAUGUA